RNAcentral lists this ribosomal RNA (543 nucleotides) under uncultured bacterium. Its description in RNAcentral is "bacterial SSU rRNA". It matches the Rfam family "Bacterial small subunit ribosomal RNA", at positions 327 to 896 of the family's 1533-position model. The record is from RNAcentral.
UGGCGAAUAUUGCGCAGGCAGCAGUGGGGAAUAGCACACAAUGCGCGAGAACGAAGAGCACCAUAGGCUCGUAAAGUUCGAAGGUUUUUGGAUAAGAAAGAUGUGUUACUGGCGAAUCAAAUGGCGGUUAAAUACAGAGGAAGCCCGGGCAAACUCGGUCCCGCCAGCGGGGUUAAUACUGGGGGGGCGAGCUUUUCUGGGAAUACUUGGGGUUAAGGGGCCGUCGGGCGUCUAUCAAAUUGAGGUGUGAAGGCUCCGGGUCUACCGUAGUAAUCGCAUUUCAGAGGAGGUCUUGAGAGCAGGAGAGGAAAGUGGAAUUUCCAGUGUAGCGGUGAAAAUGGUAGAUGAGGGAGGAACUCCAGUAGCGAAGGGCGCUUUCCGGGGAAUGUAUGACCGUUCACACGAAAAGCUGGGUAGCCAACCAGGAUAGAUUCCCUGGUAGUUCCCCCUGUAAACGAUGAUCGAUAGGGGGCGGGGGGUACAACUCUCGCGCCCGCAGCUAACGCGAUAAAUAGUCCGCCUGGGGAGUACGCACGCAAGUUG